Non-coding RNA from Drosophila melanogaster (fruit fly), 22 nucleotides. Lineage: Eukaryota; Metazoa; Arthropoda; Insecta; Diptera; Drosophilidae. The record is from Ensembl.
UAUCACAGUGGCUGUUCUUUUU